Molecule: RNase P RNA, 386 nt
Filed under: Hyphomicrobiales bacterium
Lineage: Bacteria; Pseudomonadati; Pseudomonadota; Alphaproteobacteria; Hyphomicrobiales
Description: RNase P RNA component class A
Rfam family: Bacterial RNase P class A
About the family: Ribonuclease P (RNase P) is a ubiquitous endoribonuclease, found in archaea, bacteria and eukarya as well as chloroplasts and mitochondria. Its best characterised activity is the generation of mature 5'-ends of tRNAs by cleaving the 5'-leader elements of precursor-tRNAs.
Source: RNAcentral
UCAGUUGGCUGGGUGACCGCGCCGGCAAGUGCCGAAAGGCCGCCGGGGAGGAAAGUCCGGGCUCCAGGGAUACACGGUGCCGGGUAACGCCCGGCGAGGGAAACCUCAGGGAAAGUGCCACAGAAAGCAAACCGCCCGCGGUCCGCCGCAGGUAAGGGUGAAAGGGUGCGGUAAGAGCGCACCGCAUUUCUGGCAACAGGAAUGGCAGGGUAAACCCCACCGGGAGCAAAAUCGAAUAGGGAUCGCGCGGGGUGCAAGCCCCAGGCCUGUUUUCCGGCCAGCGAUCCGGGUAGAUUGCAGGAGGCGGCUGGUAACGGUCGUCCCAGAUGAAUGGUCACCCCGCCGCUUGCGGCGGACAGAACCCGGCUUACAGGCCAACUGACGCU